AACAGAUCUUCUUAACUACACAUACUCUAAAAUCCUCUUUAACUCAAUUUUUUACUUACUUUCACAAUUUUAUACUUGUUUCUAUUGAUUCAGAGAGUCUUUAGGUCACAGGAUCUCACAGCUGUCCUCCCUGCAGAGAAUUAUGCUCCCUAGAGAGGUUUGAUCAAUGAGAGACAUCAGCAGGAGAGAAGGGGACAGGAAAAGAAGGAGGUAGGGGUUUAUUCUUCUCCGGUCCACUGCAGAUUGGCGGUGUUCCUCCUCAUCGGCCACAGCUCUGGGGUUGGGUAGCUGCUCCCUCCUUGCCCUUUCAGGCCUAGGAUUGGUACCAGUUCCCUGCCCUUACUGACCCUAGGAUACUGAACUAUCCCUUUUUGUUUUCCCCAAACUCAGUCCACACCUUUGUAGAUGAGAUUCCUUAUUAAAUUCUUGUCAAAUUGUCCAGUCUGUGGGUGUCAUCUGCUUACUGUUGUACCUCAACUGAUAAAGGCAUGCAAUGUUUUACACCUGACAUGGUUUGGAUCUGUGUCCCCACCCAAAUCUCAUGUUGAAAUAUAAUCCCCAAUGCUGGAAGUGGACCGUGGUGGGAGGUGAUUGGAUCAUGGGGAAUGGUUUAGCACCAUCCCCUUGGUGCUGUCUUGUGACAGAGUUCUCACAAGGUCUAGUUGUUUAAAAGUGUGUAGCACCCUGCCCCCUUGGCCUUGCUCCUGCCAUGUAAGACACCUGCUCCCACUUUGCCUUCUGCUACGAGUACAAGCUCCCUGAGGCCUCCCCAGAAGCAGAUGCCACCAUGCUUCCUGUACAGCCUGUGGAACCGUGAGCCAAUUAAAACUCUUUUCUUUAUAAAUUAUGCAGUCUCAGGUAUUUCUUUACAGCACUGUGAGAAUG
Molecule: long non-coding RNA, 885 nt
Filed under: Homo sapiens (human)
Lineage: Eukaryota; Metazoa; Chordata; Mammalia; Primates; Hominidae
Description: HSALNT0120860
Source: RNAcentral